This 1065-nucleotide ribosomal RNA is filed under the name uncultured bacterium. RNAcentral describes it as "bacterial SSU rRNA". It matches the Rfam family "Bacterial small subunit ribosomal RNA", at positions 9 to 1049 of the family's 1533-position model. The record is from RNAcentral.
GAGUUUGAUCCUGGCUCAGAACGAACGCUGGCGGCGUGGAUAAGACAUGCAAGUCGAACGGGAACUUUCGCUGUAGCAAUACAGUGGAAGUUCUAGUGGCGAACGGGUGCGUAACACGUGGGCAAUCUGCCUUAAAGUGGGGGAUAGCUCGGCGAAANNNAUUAAUACCGCAUGUGAUCAGAGGGGACAUCCCUUCGAAAUCAAAGUCGGGGCAACCUGACGCUUUUUGAGGAGCCCGCGGCCUAUCAGCUAGUUGGUGGGGUAACGGCUCACCAAGGCUUUGACGGGUAGCUGGUCUGAGAGGACGACCAGUCACACUGGAACUGAGACACGGUCCAGACACCUACGGGUGGCAGCAGUCGAGAAUUUUUCUCAAUGGGGGAAACCCUGAAGGAGCGACGCCGCGUGGAGGAUGAAGGUCUUCGGGUUGUAAACUCCUGUCAUUUGGGAACAAUGCUUACGUAUUAACUGUACGUGAGUUGAUAGUACCAGAAGAGGAAGAGACGGCUAACUCUGUGCCAGCAGCCGCGGUAAUACAGAGGUCUCAAGCGUUGUUCGGAUUCAUUGGGCGUAAAGGGUGUGUAGGUGGCGCGCUAAGUCGGGUGUGAAAUUUCGGAGCUUAACUCCGAAACUGCAUUCGAUACUGGCGUGCUUGAGGACUGGAGAGGAGACUGGAAUUCAUGGUGUAGCAGUGAAAUGCGUAGAGAUCAUGAGGAAGACCAGUGGCGAAGGCGGGUCUCUGGACAGUUCCUGACACUGAGACACGAAGGCCAGGGGAGCAAACGGGAUUAGAUACCCCGGUAGUCCUGGCAGUAAACGGUGCACGUUUGGUGUGGGAGGAUUCGACCCCUUCUGCGCCGGAGCUAACGCGUUAAACGUGCCGCCUGGGGAGUACGGUCGCAAGAUUAAAACUCAAAGAAAUUGACGGGGGCCCGCACAAGCGGUGGAGUAUGUGGCUUAAUUCGAUGCAACGCGAAGAACCUUACCUGGCCUUGACAUGCAUCUCUAAGCUGGUGAAAGCCAGUGACUCCCGAAAGGGAGAAUUUGCACACGUGCUACAAUGGC